GCUUUCCUGUGGCUCUGUUGGUAGAGUAUUGCGCCAACAACUGAAAGGUUGUGUGUUCAAAUCCCAUGAAAAACA
Danionella cerebrum is the source of this 75-nucleotide non-coding RNA. The record is from the annotation of a GenBank genome assembly. NCBI's taxonomy places the organism in Eukaryota, Metazoa, Chordata, Actinopteri, Cypriniformes, Danionidae.